AAAUUUAAAAAAAAUAUAUAUAUAUAUAUAAUAAUAAUUCUUAAUUUAGUUAUGAUUUCAAUUUUCAAUGUAUAUUUCUGUCUCUCCAAAUCACACAUGAGAAUAAAAUGUACCUAUUGUUUUACUGAUAAUUUUUUAAAAUAAUGUCAAUGUAGAAAGCUUCAACUGAUCAUAUAGAUACUAUAUGUAAAUAAUAGUAUUUAUACUGAACAGGCAUUAAGACUAUUUAAAACCAAAUAACCAGAUUUCUAACAUAUGGACACAUUUAUUUAGAGAAAGCAAUCCUCAGACAAUCUCUAGUUCUAUUUUUCUUUAUAACAAAUUCAAUGUAAGCCUAAUUAUUUUCAAUUUGUAUAUUUUAUAUGCUGUUUUUUUUUUUUA
Molecule: non-coding RNA, 381 nt
Organism: Biomphalaria pfeifferi
Lineage: Eukaryota; Metazoa; Mollusca; Gastropoda; Planorbidae
Source: the annotation of a GenBank genome assembly